Molecule: ribosomal RNA, 451 nt
Filed under: uncultured bacterium
Lineage: Bacteria
Description: partial 16S ribosomal RNA
Rfam family: Bacterial small subunit ribosomal RNA
Source: RNAcentral
AGCGAACGCUGGCGGCAGGCUUAACACAUGCAAGUCGAGCGGGCAUAGCAAUAUGUCAGCGGCAGACGGGUGAGUAACGCGUGGUAACGUACCUUUUGGUUCGGAACACCACAGGGAAACUUGUGCUAAUACCGGAUAAGCCCUUACGGGGAAAGAUUUAUCGCCGAAAGAUCGGCCCGCGUCUGAUUAGCUAGUUGGUGGGGUAAUGGCUCACCAAGGCGACGAUCAGUAGCUGGUCGGAGAGGAUGAUCAGCCACAUUGGGACUGAGACACGGCGCAAACUCCUACGGGAGGCAGCAGUGGGGAAUAUUGGACAAUGGGCGCAAGCCUGAACCAGCCAUGCCGCGUGGGUGAUGAAGGCCCUAGGGUUGUAAAGCUCUUUUGUGCGGGAAGAUAAUGACGGUACCGCAAGAAUAAGCCCCGGCUAACUUCGUGCCAGCAGCCGCCGCCG